Fukomys damarensis (Damara mole-rat) is the source of this 102-nucleotide small nuclear RNA. NCBI's taxonomy places the organism in Eukaryota, Metazoa, Chordata, Mammalia, Rodentia, Bathyergidae. The record is from Ensembl.
CCAAAUGGAUAUGGCAGUACUAAAGCUGGAACGAUACAGAGAAGAUGAGCACGGCCCCUGUGCAAGGAUGACACACAAAUUCAUAAAGCGUUCCAUAUUUUU